This 419-nucleotide ribosomal RNA is filed under the name uncultured bacterium. Its description in RNAcentral is "bacterial SSU rRNA". It matches the Rfam family "Bacterial small subunit ribosomal RNA", at positions 358 to 774 of the family's 1533-position model. The record is from RNAcentral.
GGAAUAUUGGGCAAUGGAUGGAAGUCUGACCCAGCCAUGCCGCGUGCAGGAAGACGGCCCUAUGGGUUGUAAACUGCUUUUGCAGGCGGAAAAAAGCGGGAUUGCGAUCCCGUCCGAUGGUAGUCUGCGAAUAAGAAUCGGCUAACUCCGUGCCAGCAGCCGCGGUAAUACGGAGGAUUCGAGCGUUAUCCGGAAUUAUUGGGUUUAAAGGGUGCGCAGGCGGACCGUUAAGUCAGCGGUGAAAAUCUGGUGCUUAACAUCAGGAGUGCCGUUGAUACUGGCGGACUAGAGUAUGAUUGACGUAAGUGGAAUGUAGCAUGUAGCGGUGAAAUGCAUAGAGAUGCUACAGAACACCGAUAGCGAAGGCAGCUUACGAAGUCACAACUGACGCUCAGGCACGAAAGCGUGGGGAGCGAACA